This 1374-nucleotide ribosomal RNA is filed under the name Chryseobacterium sp. HME7570. Its description in RNAcentral is "bacterial SSU rRNA". It matches the Rfam family "Bacterial small subunit ribosomal RNA". The record is from RNAcentral. Lineage: Bacteria; Pseudomonadati; Bacteroidota; Flavobacteriia; Flavobacteriales; Weeksellaceae.
AGCCGAGCGGUAGAGAUCUUUCGGGAUCUUGAGAGCGGCGUACGGGUGCGGAACACGUGUGCAACCUGCCUUUAUCUGGGGGAUAGCCUUUCGAAAGGAAGAUUAAUACCCCAUAAUAUAAGAAACGGCAUCGUUUUUUAUUGAAAACUCCGGUGGAUAGAGAUGGGCACGCGCAAGAUUAGAUAGUUGGUGAGGUAACGGCUCACCAAGUCUACGAUCUUUAGGGGGCCUGAGAGGGUGAUCCCCCACACUGGUACUGAGACACGGACCAGACUCCUACGGGAGGCAGCAGUGAGGAAUAUUGGACAAUGGGUGAGAGCCUGAUCCAGCCAUCCCGCGUGAAGGACGACUGCCCUAUGGGUUGUAAACUUCUUUUGUAUAGGGAUAAACCUACCCUCGUGAGGGUAGCUGAAGGUACUAUACGAAUAAGCACCGGCUAACUCCGUGCCAGCAGCCGCGGUAAUACGGAGGGUGCAAGCGUUAUCCGGAUUUAUUGGGUUUAAAGGGUCCGUAGGCGGAUUUGUAAGUCAGUGGUGAAAUCUCACAGCUUAACUGUGAAACUGCCAUUGAUACUGCAGGUCUUGAGUGUUGUUGAAGUAGCUGGAAUAAGUAGUGUAGCGGUGAAAUGCAUAGAUAUUACUUAGAACACCAAUUGCGAAGGCAGGUUACUAAGCAACAACUGACGCUGAUGGACGAAAGCGUGGGGAGCGAACAGGAUUAGAUACCCUGGUAGUCCACGCCGUAAACGAUGCUAACUCGUUUUUGGGUUUUUAAGAUUCAGAGACUAAGCGAAAGUGAUAAGUUAGCCACCUGGGGAGUACGUUCGCAAGAAUGAAACUCAAAGGAAUUGACGGGGGCCCGCACAAGCGGUGGAUUAUGUGGUUUAAUUCGAUGAUACGCGAGGAACCUUACCAAGGCUUAAAUGGGAAAUGACAGGUUUAGAAAUAGACUUUUCUUCGGACAUUUUUCAAGGUGCUGCAUGGUUGUCGUCAGCUCGUGCCGUGAGGUGUUAGGUUAAGUCCUGCAACGAGCGCAACCCCUGUCACUAGUUGCCAUCAUUAAGUUGGGGACUCUAGUGAGACUGCCUACGCAAGUAGAGAGGAAGGUGGGGAUGACGUCAAAUCAUCACGGCCCUUACGCCUUGGGCCACACACGUAAUACAAUGGCCGGUACAGAGGGCAGCUACACAGCGAUGUGAUGCAAAUCUCGAAAGCCGGUCUCAGUUCGGAUUGGAGUCUGCAACUCGACUCUAUGAAGCUGGAAUCGCUAGUAAUCGCGCAUCAGCCAUGGCGCGGUGAAUACGUUCCCGGGCCUUGUACACACCGCCCGUCAAGCCAUGGAAGUCUGGGGUACCUGAAGUCGGUGACCGUAACA